CAAUAGCUCAGUUAGUAAAACGUUAGACUGAAGAUCUAAAGGUCCUUGGUUCGAUCCCGGGGUUUCAACAUGA
RNAcentral lists this transfer RNA (73 nucleotides) under Cordylochernes scorpioides. Its description in RNAcentral is "tRNA-Phe". Lineage: Eukaryota; Metazoa; Arthropoda; Arachnida; Pseudoscorpiones; Chernetidae. The record is from RNAcentral.